This is a long non-coding RNA of Numida meleagris (helmeted guineafowl), 2836 nucleotides long. NCBI's taxonomy places the organism in Eukaryota, Metazoa, Chordata, Aves, Galliformes, Numididae. The record is from Ensembl.
AUGGUUUUAAGCAGCAGCACUCAUUUUUCCAAAGGAAACAGAAGGGCCACAUGCAUCACUCCCAAUGCUGGGCUGCCUUGGCUGACACCAAACCCACUGCCCUGGCGCCUCCUCUGGGACAAGCAUCGCUGCUCCAUGUCUGGUCUUGAGCUCUGCCUUCAUAUCUUGGUUACAAAGAACACAUUAAGGCUGCCGAGAGGACGGCCUUCUUUGCUUAAGGGUCUGAGGACAGCCUGUCUCUGGCAUGGAAAAAUCCAGAAUAUACAUCCAUCCAAAUGCAAGAAUGUGGGAGUUUGUGUAUUCAGGCCUUCACUCCACCAAAGGCUCCUUCACACAGGGUGUCUUCUAUGCUUUGGAGGUAAGGGUGGAAUAGAAUUAAGGUCAAAAUGCUCAGCCACUUCAUGAAUGAGGAUUCAGUGCUCAUCUUUCUUGCAGCAGUCCUGUGGUGGGCUGCCCACUAAGCCUUCGUCCAACAGGCUCUAUACUGGGCAAGAUGUUCAGCUCAUUCCAAGCUGUGCAUUUCUGCAGCCACGUUGAUACCAGGAUCUACUCCAUGCUGGUUCAACGUACAGUGCUGAAAAUUCGGGGGGGAACUGGAGGCUGUGGGUUGAGCACAUUUUCCUUGUGAGAGGAGAGAGAUAACUGUAAAUGCCUUGGUCUGCUGUGGGUGGGAAUUGUGAAUGUUUGCAGAGGCAUAUUUAAACAAGCACUACUUAGGCCUCUGCUCAAUAUGUCUUGAUCAUCCUCUAAUUACUGCUUCAGUGUCACCACUCCUGCUCCAGAGAGGCUAUGGAGCCACAGCAGCACUGCUCAGGAUUGAGCUGCUGCUUCUGUCCUCCUGAAAUCAUGUUUAGGACACGGAGGUGUCAGUGCUUUUUGAGCAAGGCUUCUUGCCACAAGCAAUGGAUUAAGUUGAAAUGGUAAACAGCCGUGUUCUCAGUCAACAACUUCAGACAAAGCUGACCACAGAGUUCCCCCUGUCUUCACUGACAAUAUCAGGCAAAACUUUGUCAUUAGCUCAGUUUUUCCCUUGUCAGUAAACUGAGAAGUGCAUCCCACCAGCCUCGCUCUGUCACAGCUCCUGCUGAGUAUGUGCAUGGCAACUCUGGCUUGGCUGCCAUGCUAUCAGUGUGCCGGUGACAUUCUGCUCUAUGUCUUUUUUUUCAUCAGAUCCAGAUGGUGUAAUUUCUUCUCCUUCUCUGAACCUGGCCAGGACAGAGGGCUGGAUGAGAAUCAGCUGGCAGGCCACCUGGCAGAGGGAUGCGAGGAGACAGGCGAGAGGAGCAGCCUGAGGUGCAGCAACAGGCUGCAACUGCACGGCCAUGGCCUAACAGCACCUACCUUUGCCAAUGCGGUUGGCUGUUUUCAAGAAUUUCCAGAAUCCGUCAGCUCAGUUCCCACAUGAUGAAUUUUCCAGACAGUGUCUUCCAGAGCAGUGCCUCGAGUAAGAGGCUGGACCCUGAUGUUUCUCAGUCUUGCUCCAGGUUGGCCUAGUGCAAGGUGCAUGCCUGGUGCGGCCUAGGGGCUGUGCAGAGGGCAUGGCCAGCACCUCUCUGUGCUGCCUAAUCUAUAUCAUCACCCUCAUUCUCAGAUUUGGGCAGCUCCUGGUAACAAUUUGAAGCACUCUGAGCUGAGCCUGGGACCUGGAAAGAAACAGAGCAGGCUGACAUUCAAAUCUGUCAUUUCUGUAUAGCCUGGAUUUGGCAACACCAUUGCAUUUCAUUUUUUGUGUUUGUUUGUUUGUUUGUUUAAAUUGCCUCACUUUUUUCUUGAGGAAGAAAACAAGAAUGAUAUGAAGUGCCCGGAAGCUCAGAAUUUUUGCUUAAAUGUUCUCAAAAGUACAUUGAAUUGAUUUUUCAUAUUUAUAGAGAUUUUAACUAAGGAAAACAAACAUCUGAAAUCCAACAAAAUACUACUUUUGAUGUGAUAUAUAGAUAUCUGUAGUUUAUACAGCUACGAAGUUAGGCUUUUCUGACCUUCCAGGAAUCAUGAAUACAUAGGCAUUCACAUGAGAAGGCGAUGAUGAUGUACAGCACAAUGAAGGCGGGCUGCUGAGAUAGUGAUCAACAGAAAGAUCCUGCAUGAGGGUAUAGUUGUAUUUUCUAGCUUACAUACUCUUAUUUGACUAAAUUCAUAUCUAAACUAGCCUGAAGCAGAUGGGGUGAUUAUCUUCUGUCAGUGCAGAUUUCCCAGAGACAUGAGUACAGCAUUUCAUAUCAGAGCAACACCUCCAAUCUGUACUUUUUUCCUGGUGGCCCACUUCAGUUUACCUUCUGAGGGCAGGUGUUUUAGAUCACACUUCUAAUUUAUUACUGAUGAGUAGUAGCUAGAUUGGAUCAAUGUAUGAAGUUUGCUGCAGCGGGGCUUAACAAGGCAGUACAAGGCAAUGUAUUUAUUCAAUUUAUAGUGAUGGAAACAAGCACAGUAACUACAGGCUUAUUCUGACUAUAAAUGACAUGUAUUUGUCACUUGCAGUACUGAGGGAACCUGAGCAACAGGAAACCUGUGUUUACCAGCAUUUUUAGCUUGCUUCAUGCAUCACUGAUUGUGGAAAUGAAACACAUCAAAAAAAGAUGAGAGCUCUACCAUCAGAUUCACCGGAGCUCUAACAUGCUGAGAGAUGUUCCUGUGGGAAGUUCCCAUCCGCCUUUACCUCGCAGAGAUACAGGAGCUUAUCCACCCACAACAGCCACAAAGACAGAACUGUUUUCAAGAUAUAAAUGCUUUCCUGAGUAUUAGAUCCUAGUAGAGAUGUUCUUGGUCCAAAGAUUUUAGAAUUUGGGAUGUUCCAUCUCCUCUACUGCAAUCUGAAUAAAUUACUUCAGUUUUCUAUGCA